CUUUAAGAAAGAAUGAAAACUCAGAUUUAAUUUGGGCCUAUUUUAUGUCAGAUAUGAGAAAUUACCACUCAUUCUAGUCAGGUUCACACACCGGUUAAUUCAAAACCAAGGCUAAGUCCUCUAAAAGCGCUAAGUUCUGGGGCACCUGAGAGUCAGUUAAGCAUCCGACCCUUGAUCUCAGCUCAGGUCUUGAUCUCAGGGUCGUGAGUUCAAGCCCCGUGCUGGGCUCCAUGCUGGGUGUGGAGCCUACUUAAAAAAAAAAAAAAAAAAAAGUGCUAAGUUCUUUCAACUGUAUACUUCUGCUGUUUGUGUGGAUUUGAAGACCCAAGUCUUCUAAAAGUGCCCAGAUAACAUCCUUCCCACUAAACCAUAAUAAUGUAUACAGAAUAUGCAACCUAGUUUGUGGUGUGAAGCAUGUGAACAGUUUAACCAUUCUAAGAGGUUCAAUAUCCUUAAGGUUUGUAAGUUACGUUAAAUUUUAAUACCCGAAGUUUUUUCUCCAGGUAGGGAAAUUAUAACUUGGAUAACUUCUCUUUUAAAGCUAAAAAAAAAAAAAAAAAAAAAAAAAAAAAAGGAAAAAAAGAGAAAAAAAUUUCAAUCACAUCGCCAUAAAAAGAAAUAUACCACCACUAUCAUCAUCAUCCAGCAGCCUAAAAAAGACUAUCUCAUUGGCUGCGAUAAGCUGUUCUACCUAAAUCUUUGUACCUUCAUCGCUUUUGGGAGAGAAAGAUUAAAUCAUACGAAAUAAGUGAUCCUUUCCGGUGUCAUUUAGGAUGCUUUAUCCUGCACGUGGCAGGAAAUGCUCAUUUAAUUUGGCUUCAUCAAUGGAGAAAUUUAUUACUCCACAUAAUAGCAAUUGCAGACAUAUGGUAGACUGUGAGGCUUGAUGGCUCAGCAGCUCAAGUAUUUCAUGUGUAACCCAAGUUUUUCUCUCUCAGUCUGGUGUUCUCAGGGCUGGAGUUUCUCCUGGCGGGAAAUAGACAUCUGAAGAAGUUCUGUUCGCCAUAUCCAGACCUGAUAAUGUCCACAGGUAGAGGGAAAAAUACGUUUUCUUAGGACUUUCUCAUAGAAGAUGAUGUCUUUGCAACCCUGCUGAUUUGCUGUCAUGACUGAUGGAUCAGGGUUGGCUCAAGUGAAUAUUCUUGUACCAGUCACUGGGAAAGGAGAUGAACUGAGUCAACCAUGCCAACCCUUGGGACGAGGUAUAUAUAGGUUCACAUUACCAUGAAACACAUAAUUAUGUGCAUGGAGCAUGAAGGUGGACACCUGAAUAAAACUGGGAAUCUGUGACUGAAGAGGGGGCAGGAGGGGAUGAUGAUUAGGCAAAUAUCUGUGUCCACUGCACAAUGCUCACAACAUAUGGCUGUAUUUAUAAUCAGUAAUUAUCAAUGGUAAUGAGAUUGGACAAAGUGAAACUAAUCUGAAUUUGAAUAGAGUCCUCAAAUAUCAUUCUAGGAAUUCUUACCCAAGCCUUCUCUCUAACCAUUUAAACCUUUGUUAGAACCAGUUUAAAAAUAACAGAGCAGAUUUGCACUGAUGAUACUAAUCUGAAUGAUUUCAAUGAGUUAAAUAUUUAGGCAUCAUGAUGCUUAAUGAUGCAUUGAUUAGAGAGAUAAUUAAAUGCUGAAUCCGAGUCACCAAAUGACCUCAGGAAAUUGGCAUUGAAAAUGACCAGAGCCAUCACCAAACUGCACACCUCAUUGUUUGUUUGGACCUAAAGCCUUGAGCCAGCUUUUAUAGCAUGAAGGAGGUCCAUUUGGGAACCCUGUGUAACACUACGUGGCAUGUCAGGCUAACCAGAAAUGUAGUCCUGGAGAUCAGUCUACUGUUCCUAUGGUCAUCAUACAAAAGAAUUCCACGGAGCCUAUCACAUGGGGGUCACUAAGAUAUAAAAUAGAAAAUUAUAAACAAUGACAAACAACAUUUAUGAAUUCUUAUUUUGUGGUGUCAGCUCUAAGUGAACUAAAAAUCUGCAACAGAAGUACAAGUCAAGUGCUUCUAUUAAUGUUGUCAUCCUAAUUUCAUAGAUAAGAAAAUGGAUCAUGGAAGGGGUAAGAAAGCCACAUGUCCCAUCCCCGAAACAUGGCACCAGAGCCCACACGCUCCUAAAGACUAUGCUAUCCUGCCUCUAAUGGAGGUGCAAGAAGAAAUACAUAAUUUUAAUAUAAAGAACUGGCUUCACUUCUGAAAAGAGAAAGGGACUGAUACACCUAUUUAAGAAAGGAUCUGGGAUUUGAGAUUAUUUUCUUAUCCUAGAAGAUAUAUAAAAUGAAUGCAUGUACAAUAUUUUAGUGUACUAUUUAAAUAGUGACUUUUUUUCUUUUUGCAGAAGUCUGUUUAUUUAUACUGCUCAGUGAAAUCUUUUGAAACCAUGUAUGUUACUUUAGUUCAUUUCCAGACUACAUAGUUCAUAGGGAAUAUAGAAAUAAAUUUGGUGUAAUUUUAUAAGAAUAACACCAAUAUUCCAAAAUCAAAUUUAUAAACUUAAUUUAAACCUGGGUCAAUUAUUUUCCCCUAUAAAUAAUGUCUUGCAUUUUUUACUAGAUGUAUAGUUGGUCUAAUGAAUGCUCAAGUGUUCUUGUUAAAUGCAUGAAUGAUCGAGUAAGUAAAUUGUAACUUAGAUUGUCAGUUCUAUAGUUUUCCAUUUUAUCUACUGAAAACUAUCUUCUUUAUAAAAACUGGUAUUCAGGACAUUUGGAGUUCAUAUAAAUCCAUAAGCAUUCCAAGGCUCUGGGCAGCGUGUAAUCAAAAUCGAAUCCUGAGAAUCCUAUGAAGUACAUCUGAAAGUAAUAAAAGUUAAAUAUAAAUGAUUGACGGUAGAUAAUAAAGAACAUAUAUAUCCAAUAUAUGCAAAUCAAGAAGAGGAGACUUAAGCAAUGACAUAAGGGCAGCCACAAGUUUCACUUGAAAGGCAGCCUUGAAUAACAAAAACCAGCUGAAGACAGCGGUUUCUGAAAACACAAUCAACAAAAAGUCUAAACAGGUGGAAACUGCCAUUGGAAAUACAUGUGAGAGGAGGCAGUUUUCCCUUGACAUGUGGCUUUGUCUAAACCAAGCCAGAACUGCAUCUACAGAAAAUCUGUAAAAAUUCUAAAUGGUAAGUGAAUAUGUGUAUACAAUUUGGAAAGUACCGUUGAUCACAUGUUAACCUAUAAGAGAGAGAAAGAAGCGGAUGUUUGUGCAGUGUUUGCCUUUUUCAAAUGGCAUAUAAAUUAAUGUAAAACAGUGAUUAAACCCUCCCAAAAUCAAUAGUCUCGUAGUAAAUAGAAUACGAAGAGGCACAGAAAUGGGAUCACAGUAGAAUAAAGCCAGUGACAUUCAACAUUUCUAAGGUAAAUUGUUGGGAUUAACUAGAAAGAUACAUUAUAAGACAAUAUAGAAAAAGCAAGAGUCCUUUCCAUACCACCAAACUGUAUGUUUUGUUUCUUUCAAUCACAAAAUUUUUCAAAAUAAUUUGUAAGCAUUCCUUUUUUUCUUCGGGUUGUAUCUUAGUUAUUUUAUCCUGUUGCCUGAAAUCAUUGGUAAGAGGGCAAAUCACCAUCAAGUUUUGAUUUGGAUGAGGUGAGCUGUUUUGCCUGCCCCUUACAUUCAUCUUAUUAUAUACGUAGACAUAUUUUAUCAAAAGGGGGAAAAAAAAACACGAUGAAGUGCCACUGGAUUUCUAGAUGAUCAAGUGGGCAUUAACAAAUUGAUUUUUUUCAGAAAUCAGGUUCUUUCUUUUCCUCCAACUUACUAUCAUAAAAAUCUAAAGGCAAAUGAAAUGUAAUAAAUUCAUAGGACAGUCUCCCUGGGAAAAUGCUAUUAGCGCAGAGUUGCUAACCGCGAACAAAUUACUGCAAUUAGAAUUACCUGAGUGGCAUUGUAAGGCCUCUCUGCCUCACUGAAGAUAUAUGAUUUCAGAAUUUGUGUUCCUUGCAUUAAUAUUAAGACUCACUGAAUGAAUAAAGGGAGAUAUUUAAUGAUUAUUCAUUUGAUGGUAGGACUUGGUGUCAAAAGGUGUUCCUCAGAGUUUAGAUUCUUGUAAAUCUGGUGUAAUUAUCCAUCCUUUGGGAAAUUAAACAUCUCUAUCUUAAAAUAAGGUCUACAAGGAAAAUCACUCUUUAUAAGCUAGUUGGAGAAUAAAAACUGCUUUUAUUUAAAGAGUCUUGAGUUCUUCACUGCUAACACAUCUGCCUAAAUCCACACAUACUAACAUAUUUUAAUUAUAGUCAAGAACUGUAUGGACCCUUAAUCUGUGAUAAUCUUCAGUAGUCUUUCUCAAGUUUUGAUUUGAUGAAAUAAUUGAAGUGAAACGGUUUUAAAACUAUCAUCUACCAUAGAGAUAUGAAUUUAUAGGCAAGAAACUGAAAGGAUCAAGAGAAAAUCGGAAGAAACACAGAAAUCAAAAUACUACUAGGCUCCAAUAAGAAUAACAGGAGAAUGAGAGCUGUCUAAAAUUCAUAUAAUUCUCUCUCUCUUUUUCUCAUUAUCAUCUAUCUACGUAUCAUCUAUCUACAGAUAUAUGCAGCAUAUAACUCAUUUUAGCUAAACCUUCAACAAUGAAACUUACACCAAACUCAGGUUAAUAAUGUAGAAUUACAAAAAUCUUAGAGAAAAUGUUACAUUUCUGUAAAAAUGUAGAUUAUUAAUUUAAAAAUAACUUAUAGUUUCUCAAAUCAUCAUCUUUUGAAUUAUCUUCUCAAAUCUGAAUUAUUCACUUAAAGACCUAGAAUCAAUUUUCAUCAAACUUUUCAGGAAGGAUUGUACCAUAGAUGAUAGAAUUAGAGUCAAAAAUUUAUCUCCAAAGACAAAAAAAAAAAA
RNAcentral lists this long non-coding RNA (4800 nucleotides) under Canis lupus familiaris (dog). RNAcentral's name for it is "lncRNA (ENSCAFG00845016758.1)". Lineage: Eukaryota; Metazoa; Chordata; Mammalia; Carnivora; Canidae. The record is from RNAcentral.